AGGGGACGUUCCUCAGUUUCAAGAAUAAUCCAAGUAGUUAUUUCUCUCAUGAUCUACUCAUAUUGCAAUUUUUUGAUCGAUAAAAUGAUGCCAUUCAUUGCAGCUUUCUCCGUAUUAGUUUGCUUUCUAGACUUGGUACGCCAAUGAAGGAUUAUUUCUUCCAGCAGGCUUUCAUCAUAGGCUAUUCUCAUGUGGGACUAAUACAAAAGGAGAAUCAAACCUUGCUGAAUGGGAUUCCGGAGAAAUCAAGAAAUAUGAUGGUCUUGGGAAGCAGUCUGAGGGGGUUGUGCAGUUUGAUACAAUGAAGAGCCAGUUCUUGGCUGUUGGUGAUGAGUCCCAAAUCAAAUUCUGGGAUAUGGACAAGCUUGACAUGUUGACAGCUAUUGACGCAUGAGAGGGUGGAUUACAGGCUUCUCCUUGCAUUCGAUCCAACAAGGAAGGGGUAUUGCUAGCUGUAUCAACAAGUGAUAAUGGUAUCAAAAUGCUUGCAAAUGUUGAUGGUGUACGGCUGCUUCGUUCUGUUGAAAGUUGUGCUGCUUAUGCAGCAAACAGCUUGAGAGUGUCUCCGGCAUUACCGUUUCAAAGCUCGAUCGUGGGUGUAUCCGGAUGUCACUGCAUCUCGUCCAAUACCGACUUAAACAUAUGAAACAUUCCCGACACGCCGAGCCGUCACACCAUGUUUGAUAUAUAAGUUAAUUGAAUGAAUUAGCACCGUCAAAUCCCACAUAAUUCAAAUUCAAAUUCCACAUAAUUCAAUGAUUACAACUCUAAUUAUACAUAGAAAUAUAAUUAGAGUCUUAGUUAUAUGUGGCCACAAAGUAGCCAAAAUACAACCACAGAACCACAAUGACCCCACUUAUAGUUAUCAUCCAUAAAGUACAACACGCAUGAACACCGUCAUUUUAGGUCGGUGACAUUAAUAGCUGAAACUAAUUAAUCUUCACACUUAGCACGUGGAUUUCACCGUAUGUUUUUGUCUUCGACCUUUGCAUAGUUGUCUCAUUGAGUCAUGGUAUUUUCCUGCUCCCUUCUCAAAAUCUCAACCAUAAUUAGGCGUGCGUUUUCUUUAUAAGAAUUAGGUAUAAAGUAUUUCUAAUAUAGAGAGUACUACUAUUUUAAGUCAUCUAUAACAUAUGUCAUCUCUCUAUUUUUGUAAUUUAUUGUUGUCUAUACAGAGAUAUGAUGCACAACAUUUAUUGAGCAUAAAAUUCCAACGAAUUUUGAUACCUAUACAUAGUAUAUUAUUGAGCAUUUAGUCCUGUUCCUUGACAUGCUAUAUAUUCCAAGUCCAUAGGCUAUAUUGGAUCCUAUAUCACGUAAUUAAUAAGUCUAACCAACUCAUUAAUGAUACUUCCUUUUUCUAUAAGAUAAGAUCAUAUAUAUAUAGAAAGACUUACAUUUCAAGAAAGGAAAACUCGAUUCUCAUAAACAUGGAUGCAAUUUUCACGAUGAGUUGGUAGUUUCACUGUGAUAAUAUGAUCUGGCUAUGCAACAAAACACAUUUUU
This is a long non-coding RNA of Carya illinoinensis, 1506 nucleotides long. RefSeq lists it as uncharacterized. The record is from RefSeq and is a predicted model, not a curated record. The transcript is spliced from 3 exons. NCBI's taxonomy places the organism in Eukaryota, Viridiplantae, Streptophyta, Magnoliopsida, Fagales, Juglandaceae.